GAUGAACGCUGGCGGCGUGCCUAAUACAUGCGAGUCGAGCGAACGGACGAGAAGCUUGCUUCUCUGAUGUUAGCGGCGGACGGGUGAGUAACACGUGGAUAACCUACCUACAAGACUGGGAUAACUUCGGGAAACCGGAGCUAAUACCGGAUAAUAUUUUGAACCGCAUGGUUCAAAAGUGAAAGGCGGUCUUGCUGUCACUUAUAGAUGGAUCCGCGCUGCAUUAGCUAGUUGGUAAGGUAACGGCUUACCAAGGCAACGAUGCAUAGCCGACCUGAGAGGGUGAUCGGCCACACUGGAACUGAGACACGGUCCAGACUCCUACGGGAGGCAGCAGUAGGGAAUCUUCCGCAAUGGGCGAAAGCCUGACGGAGCAACGCCGCGUGAGUGAUGAAGGUCUUCGGAUCGUAAAACUCUGUUAUUAGGGAAGAACAUAUGUGUAAGUAACUGUGCACAUCUUGACGGUACCUAAUCAGAAAGCCACGGCUAACUACGUG
Molecule: ribosomal RNA, 497 nt
Filed under: uncultured bacterium
Lineage: Bacteria
Description: partial 16S ribosomal RNA
Rfam family: Bacterial small subunit ribosomal RNA
Source: RNAcentral